CAUAGGCUGCCCAGACGCUAGAGGACGGGGAGGGUCCCCGGGAUCAGAAAGGCUGCCGGACGGAGCCCAGCCCCCGGCCCCGCGUCGCCCCGCGUCAGGGAAAGGAAACGAAGGAGUCUGAGGGGACCCACCUGGCUGAGGCCACGCUCCAGCGGAAAAAACCCGGUCAGCUCCGAGCUUUGCGCGGGGGCCGGCGGGACUCGACGGCGCCCCACGCCCACCCCUGCCGUAAAGCGGCGCCUGCGUGACCCCGCGUAGACGACCCCCGCCCCCUGUCGUCCGCGUCUCCUCGGAGAAGCCCGGGAGGGUCCCUGCCGCCAACGAUGUGUGCGAAGGAACAGUAAAAGGGAAAUUUUACCGUUCAACAGUCGCAAAACUAUUUAGAGGAAAGAAGUUUAAGUACACUUGCAAACGAUGUGACGAGUUU
Long non-coding RNA from Mesoplodon densirostris (Blainville's beaked whale), 427 nucleotides. RefSeq lists it as uncharacterized. The transcript has 2 exons. NCBI's taxonomy places the organism in Eukaryota, Metazoa, Chordata, Mammalia, Artiodactyla, Ziphiidae. The record is from RefSeq and is a predicted model, not a curated record.